CCUACGGGAGGCUGCAGUGAGGAAUAUUGGUCAAUGGGCGCGAGCCUGAACCAGCCAAGUCGCGUGAAGGAAGACUGCCCUACGGGUUGUAAACUUCUUUUGCAAGGGAAUAAAGUGUGGCACGUGUACCUUUUUGUAUGUACUUUAUGAAUAAGGAUCGGCUAACUCCGUGCCAGCAGCCGCGGUAAUACGGAGGAUCCGAGCGUUGUCCGGAUUUAUUGGGUUUAAAGGGAGCGGAGAGGGGUUGUUAAGUCAGAUGUGAAAGUUUGCGGCUCAACCGUAGAAGUGCAAUUGAUACUGGCAGACUUGAGUGCAGUAGAGGUAGGCGGAAUUCGUGGUGUAGCGGUGAAAUGCUUAGAUAUCACGAAGAACUCCGAUUGCGAAGGCAGCCUACUAAACUGCAACUGACAUUGAGGCUCGAAAGUGUGGGUAUCAAACAGGAUUAGAUACCCCUGUAGUC
Molecule: ribosomal RNA, 460 nt
Filed under: uncultured bacterium
Lineage: Bacteria
Description: partial 16S ribosomal RNA
Rfam family: Bacterial small subunit ribosomal RNA
Source: RNAcentral